This is a non-coding RNA of Schistosoma mansoni, 45 nucleotides long. The record is from Rfam. Lineage: Eukaryota; Metazoa; Platyhelminthes; Trematoda; Strigeidida; Schistosomatidae.
AUCCAGCUGACGAGUCCCAAAUAGGACGAAAUACUCGUCCUGGAU